GAUUCUUGCAAACUAAUUUAGUGCAAGUGUUAUAAGUUUUAAGCAUCAAUCAAUUUCACUUUGCUAACCAUUAUUAUGAUUGGCUAUGCUGUUUUUCUCCCAUUAACUACACAAGAUCACAAUAAUGUUUUUAUUUUUCUUUUUUCAUUUUUUAUGGUAACUGUCAGCAUAGAAUGCAGUUAUUCCAUAUAACAUGAAGUGCUUUCUAACUAAAAAAAUGGCAUGUUAGCAACUCUUUAGAAGAGAUGAAAAAGAA
Molecule: unclassified non-coding RNA, 256 nt
Filed under: Hevea brasiliensis (rubber tree)
Lineage: Eukaryota; Viridiplantae; Streptophyta; Magnoliopsida; Malpighiales; Euphorbiaceae
Source: RNAcentral